This 253-nucleotide ribosomal RNA is filed under the name uncultured bacterium. RNAcentral describes it as "partial 16S ribosomal RNA". It matches the Rfam family "Bacterial small subunit ribosomal RNA", at positions 524 to 776 of the family's 1533-position model. The record is from RNAcentral.
UACGGAGGGGGCGAGCGUUGUUCGGAAUCACUGGGCGUAAAGGGUGCGUAGGCGGGUCUUUAAGUCAGGGGUGAAAUCCUGGAGCUCAACUCCAGAACUGCCUUUGAUACUGAAGAUCUUGAGUUCGGGAGAGGUGAGUGGAACUGCGAGUGUAGAGGUGAAAUUCGUAGAUAUUCGCAAGAACACCAGUGGCGAAGGCGGCUCACUGGCCCGAUACUGACGCUGAGGCACGAAAGCGUGGGGAGCAAACAGG